UUUUUUUUCCCGUCUUUCCCCCCUUUUUUUUUCAUUUCCUUUCAAGUUUGUAGAGCCUAAAGUUUCGAAACAACACUGUCUCUCUCUCUCUCUCUCUCUCUCUCUCUCUCUUCUCUCACUCACGGAGGCGAGCGCCGAUAAGCGAUCUCACUACUUUUCUGUUCUUGGGUUUGAUCUUUAAUCCUUAUAUAAAUUCCUUUAAUCCUUUUUCACUGUUCUGUAGCUGAUCUCACUACUUCACUGUUCUUGAGUUUGAUCUAAUAUCUGGUGUUCCUGGAGUCACGAAGACAGAGAGGUUGGGUACACUCAGGGCUAUCUUCACAACCCUAGCUACAAUGAUGUCUGUUCUGGGACCACGAAUCACUCGAAGGUCGUUAGGGUUCAGUAUGAUCCCAAGGAGUGUAGUUACGAGUCCUUGCUUGAUGUUUUUGGCCAGACACGACCCUACUUCGCUUAAUCGUCAGAUAUAUUUAAAUUCCUUAUGGGCAGCUCUAUUGGCAAGUCUAUUGGCAGCUUUCAUCUUUGUCAUCAUUUCUGCAAGUCUAUUGGCAGCUCUCAUCUUUGUCUCUCUCCCACUCAUUUCCAUUAUGGUUUGAUGAUAGAGGGGUCAAUCUAGAUAUGGAGAAGGUUCUGAACAGCAAGCAGCUGUGAAAGCUAAUGAUGGGAUAAGUUCAACAAGUGGCAGAAAGCAUAAAAAAAAAUAAAAAUAAAAAAAUGCUUGUGAGGUAUUGCAUACUAAUAAUUGAAAGCCUUGUGGUCAUUGGUGCAUGGGCCCAGAUGGAAAGAGAGGUUCACUUGAUUGGGAAGAAUAAGAAUUCUAUCGGUCUGAUUUAAUUCUAGCUGUGUAAGAGUUUAUACAUGUCUUACUCAUUUUGCUGUUUUAGCAUUUACAGGUUUAUGCGGCUGAAAAUGGGCAGGAGUUGAUGGGUAAAAUUGCAUAGACAUUACAGGAAGGAGAGUGGAGCUGGGUUUAGAGUGUUAAGAAAUAGUACUGCCAUGAUGAAGACAAACAUCAAUCAUAUUUUUCAGGGAGUAUUGUUGGGACUAUCCAAUACCGCUGGAGUGCUAGCUGGUGUCUUUGGAACAGCUGCAGCAGAGGCCAUGGGAUUGUUCCUUCUCCGAGUGAUGUGCAAAAGUUGUGCCAUAUUUUAGGUGAG
Non-coding RNA from Camellia sinensis, 1157 nucleotides. The record is from RefSeq and is a predicted model, not a curated record. NCBI's taxonomy places the organism in Eukaryota, Viridiplantae, Streptophyta, Magnoliopsida, Ericales, Theaceae.